GAUAAACGCCGGCGGUGUGCCUAAUACAUGCAAGUCGUACGCACUGGCCCAACUGAUUGAUGGUGCUUGCAUCUGAUUGACGAUGGAUCACCAGUGAGUGGCGGACGGGUGAGUAACACGUAGGUAACCUGCCCCGGAGCGGGGGAUAACAUUUGGAAACAGAUGAUAAUACCGCAUAACAACAAAAGCCGCAUGGCUUUUGUUUGAAAGAUGGCUUUGGCUAUCACUCUGGGAUGGACCUGCGGUGCAUUAGCUAGUUGGUAAGGUAAGGCUUACCAAGGCGAUGAUGCAUAGCCGAGUUGAGAGACUGAUCGGCCACAAUGGAACUGAGACACGGUCCAU
Molecule: ribosomal RNA, 342 nt
Filed under: uncultured bacterium
Lineage: Bacteria
Description: bacterial SSU rRNA
Rfam family: Bacterial small subunit ribosomal RNA
Source: RNAcentral